UACAGAGGGUGCAAGCGUUGUUCGGAAUUAUUGGGCGUAAAGGGCGCGUAGGCGGCUGUACAAGUCAAAGGUGAAAUCCCUCGGCUCAACUGAGGAACUGCCUUUGAAACUGUACGGCUUGAGGCCGGGAGGGGGUAGCGGAAUUCCCAGUGUAGCGGUGAAAUGCGUAGAUACUGGGAGGAACACCAGUGGCGAAGGCGGCUACCUGGACCGGUUCUGACGCUGAGGCGCGAAAGCCAGGGGAGCAAACGGG
This 253-nucleotide ribosomal RNA is filed under the name uncultured bacterium. RNAcentral's name for it is "partial 16S ribosomal RNA". It matches the Rfam family "Bacterial small subunit ribosomal RNA", at positions 524 to 776 of the family's 1533-position model. The record is from RNAcentral.